RNAcentral lists this ribosomal RNA (468 nucleotides) under uncultured bacterium. RNAcentral's name for it is "partial 16S ribosomal RNA". It matches the Rfam family "Bacterial small subunit ribosomal RNA", at positions 28 to 507 of the family's 1533-position model. The record is from RNAcentral.
GACGAACGCUGGCGGCGUGCUUAACACAUGCAAGUCGAACGGAAAGGCCCUGCUUUUGUGGGGUGCUCGAGUGGCGAACGGGUGAGUAACACGUGAGUAACCUGCCCUUGACUUUGGGAUAACUUCAGGAAACUGGGGCUAACACCGGAUAGGAGCUCCUGCUGCAUGGUGGGGGUUGGAAAGUUUCGGCGGUUGGGGAUGGACUCGCGGCUCAUCAGCUUGUUGGUGGGGUAGUGGCUUACCAAGGCUUUGACGGGUAGCCGGCCUGAGAGGGUGACCGGCCACAUUGGGACUGAGAUACGGCCCAGACUCCUACGGGAGGCAGCAGUGGGGAAUAUUGCACAAUGGGCGGAAGCCUGAUGCAGCAACGCCGCGUGCGGGAUGACGGCCUUCGGGUUGUAAACCGCUUUCGCCUGUGACGAAGCGUGAGUGACGGUAAUGGGUAAAGAAGCACCGGCUAACUACGUG